Molecule: long non-coding RNA, 247 nt
Filed under: Pelobates cultripes (western spadefoot toad)
Lineage: Eukaryota; Metazoa; Chordata; Amphibia; Anura; Pelobatidae
Source: RNAcentral
GGGUAUAGUUAUACCAAAAGAGCAAGGAGUACAUCGGUAGAUCACAUCUGCAACAGAACCAUUACAGAUUCCUUGUUGUAUCAAUGUCUCUGUGUUUAUGUUUACAUGAGUUCCUUGCUUUGCAGGUAUGUACAUAAUAUGUAGAGUUUAAGAAAAGCUGCAGAUCGUGCUUUAGUACAUGUGUCCCGUGAUGUCAGGUUUCUGAAAGAUUUUGCUGGCCUUUUAUAUUCCAUUCUCUUGGCAGGGC